RNAcentral lists this ribosomal RNA (253 nucleotides) under uncultured bacterium. Its description in RNAcentral is "partial 16S ribosomal RNA". It matches the Rfam family "Bacterial small subunit ribosomal RNA", at positions 524 to 776 of the family's 1533-position model. The record is from RNAcentral.
UACAGAGGUGGCAAGCGUUGUUCGGAAUUACUGGGCGUAAAGGGCGCGUAGGUGGCCUUCUUAGUCAGACGUGAAAUCCCCGGGCUUAACUCGGGAACUGCGUCUGAUACUGGAAGGCUUGAGUUCGGGAGAGGAAUGUGGAAUUCCAGGUGUAGCGGUGAAAUGCGUAGAUAUCUGGAGGAACACCGGUGGCGAAGGCGGCAUUCUGGACCGAAACUGACGCUGAGGCGCGAAAGCCAGGGGAGCAAACGGG